UUUAUACUUUCAUAUUUUAAAUUUCCUUCAGAAGCAAAAACUAUAAAUGGUGCUAUUUUGUGCUUGCAGAAAGAUACCGCACAGCAGUCCACACAGAAGAUUCAGUACUUCUGCGUAAUCCCCAGCCCUUCUUCCUUUCAAGCACAGAAGAGUCUUGCACAUAUAGCGAAGUUGAAACUUGAGGGUUUUGUAUCACAUGACUUGUGAACUGAAGGAGAGCUGAAGAACACGCCAGUCCAAAUUUCAGUACAUCAUACUGUGGUAAGUUCAACUUUUUGUUGUUUUAACAACUUAUUAUUUUUUUUCCACUUAGAAAUGAAAAGACAUAG
RNAcentral lists this long non-coding RNA (329 nucleotides) under Anser brachyrhynchus (Pink-footed goose). RNAcentral's name for it is "lncRNA (ENSABRG00000006690.1)". Lineage: Eukaryota; Metazoa; Chordata; Aves; Anseriformes; Anatidae. The record is from RNAcentral.